UAGGGAAUCUUCGGCAAUGGACGGAAGUCUGACCGAGCAACGCCGCGUGAGUGAAGAAGGUUUUCGGAUCGUAAAGCUCUGUUGUAAGAGAGGAACGAGUGUGAGAGUGGAAAACUCACACUGUGACGGUAUCUUACCAGAAAGGGACGGCUAACUACGUGCCAGCAGCCGCGGUAAUACGUAGGUCCCGAGCGUUGUCCGGAUUUAUUGGGCGUAAAGCGAGCGCAGGCGGUUAGAUAAGUCUGAAGUUAAAGGCUGUGGCUUAACCAUAGUACGCUUUGGAAACUGUUUAACUUGAGUGCAAGAGGGGAGAGUGGAAUUCCAUGUGUAGCGGUGAAAUGCGUAGAUAUAUGGAGGAACACCGGUGGCGAAAGCGGCUCUCUGGCUUGUAACUGACGCUGAGGCUCGAAAGCGUGGGGAGCAAACAGGAUUAGAUACCCUGGUAGUCCACGCUGUAAACGAUGAGUGCUAGGUGUUAGACCCUUUCCGGGGUUUAGUGCCGUAGCUAACGCAUUAAGCACUCCGCCUGGGGAGUACGACCGCAAGGUUG
This 550-nucleotide ribosomal RNA is filed under the name uncultured bacterium. RNAcentral describes it as "bacterial SSU rRNA". It matches the Rfam family "Bacterial small subunit ribosomal RNA", at positions 355 to 896 of the family's 1533-position model. The record is from RNAcentral.